Molecule: ribosomal RNA, 398 nt
Filed under: uncultured bacterium
Lineage: Bacteria
Description: partial 16S ribosomal RNA
Rfam family: Bacterial small subunit ribosomal RNA
Source: RNAcentral
AUACGUAGGGUGCGAGCGUUGUCCGGAAUUACUGGGCGUAAAGAGCUCGUAGGUGGUUUGUCGCGUCGUCUGUGAAAUUCCGGGGCUUAACUCCGGGCGUGCAGGCGAUACGGGCAUAACUUGAGUACUGUAGGGGAGACUGGAAUUCCUGGUGUAGCGGUGAAAUGCGCAGAUAUCAGGAGGAACACCGGUGGCGAAGGCGGGUCGAUGGGGAGUAACGGACGCUGAGGAGCGAAAGCAGGGGUAGCGAACAGGAUUAGAUACCCUGGUAGUCCAUGCCGUAAACGGUGGGCGCUAGGUGUAGGGGUCUUCCACGACUUCUGUGCCGUAGCUAACGCAUUAAGCGCCCCGCCUGGGGAGUACGGCCGCAAGGCUAAAACUCAAAUGAAUUGACGGGG